AGAGAGAGACAUGCGCGCAUAUCAAUAAGCGGAGGAAAAGAAACUAACAAGGAUUCCCUUAGUAACGGCGAGUGAAGCGGGAAGAGCUCAAAUUUGAAAUCUUCAAGGUUUUACCUUGACGAAUUGUAGUUUAAAGAAGUGUUUUCUGUUGGAGUUUUGGUAAAAGUUCUUUGGAAUAGGACAUCAUAGAGGGUGAGAAUCCCGUAUUUGACCAUUAUUUCCAGCUGUGUGAUACACUUUCAAAGAGUCGGAUUGUUUGGGAAUGCAGUCCAAAAUGGGUGGUAAAUUUCAUCUAAAGCUAAAUACUGGCGAGAGACCGAUAGCGAACAAGUACCGUGAGGGAAAGAUGAAAAGAACUUUGAAAAGAGAGUUAAACAGUACGUGAAAUUGUCAAAAGGGAAGCGUUUGACACCAGUGUUGUUUUCUCGAAAAUCAAUUAAAAAUGGCUGGGAUUUUGUGUUGUAUUGACUUUAUCAGCUUUCUGCACUUUUUUCCUGUCUUUUUUAAUGCACUUUUCGUUUAACAAGUCAACAUCAAUUUCUUUUGUUGUAAAAGAGUCAUUGGAAGGUGGCUUUCACUUUCGGUGAAAGUGUUUAUAGCCUUUGCCUCUGCAAUCGGAGAGAUUGAGGUCUGCAGCGUAGAUCCUUCGGGGUUAGAUACAUUUGUGCUAAGCUAUAGCUUUUCAUAGACAACUUGUUGACUAUGAUCAGUCAUGUAGCUUACUCGCUGAUGUCAUUUUACCUACGCUUAGGAUGUUGACAGCAGUAUAGACUG
Molecule: ribosomal RNA, 774 nt
Filed under: uncultured Neocallimastigales
Lineage: Eukaryota; Fungi; Neocallimastigomycota; Neocallimastigomycetes; Neocallimastigales
Description: partial large subunit ribosomal RNA
Rfam family: Eukaryotic large subunit ribosomal RNA
Source: RNAcentral